AGGACGAACGCUGGCGGCGUGCUUAACACAUGCAAGUCGAGCGGAAAGGCCCUUCGGAGUACUCGAGCGGCGAACGGGUGAGUAACACGUGAGCAACCUGCCCUUGGCUCUGGGAUAGCCUCCGGAAACGGGGAUUAAUACCGGACAUUCACUUUCUCCUGCAUGGGGGUUGGUGGAAAGUUUUUCGGCCAGGGAGGGGCUCGCGGCCUAUCAGCUUGUUGGCGGGGUAACGGCCCACCAAGGCGACGACGGGUAGCCGGCCUGAGAGGGCGAUCGGCCACACUGGGACUGAGACACGGCCCAGACUCCUACGGGAGGCAGCAGUGGGGAAUAUUGCACAAUGGGCGCAAGCCUGAUGCAGCGACGCCGCGUGGGGGAUGAAGGCCUUCGGGUUGUAAACCCCUUUCACCAGGAGCGAAUUCAGACGGUACCUGGGGAAGAAGCGCCGGCUAACGUACGCGCCAGCAGCCGC
Molecule: ribosomal RNA, 472 nt
Filed under: uncultured bacterium
Lineage: Bacteria
Description: SSU rRNA
Rfam family: Bacterial small subunit ribosomal RNA
Source: RNAcentral